Molecule: ribosomal RNA, 222 nt
Filed under: uncultured bacterium
Lineage: Bacteria
Description: partial 16S ribosomal RNA
Rfam family: Bacterial small subunit ribosomal RNA
Source: RNAcentral
AGUAAUACAUCGGAACAUACCCUAGAGUGGGGGAUAACGUAGCGAAAGUUACGCUAAUACCGCAUACGCACUAAGGUGGAAAGCAGGGGAUCGAAAGACCUUGCGCUCAUGGAGUGGCCGAUGUCAGAUUAGCUAGUUGGUGGGGUAAAGGCCUACCAAGGCGACGAUCUGUAGCCGGUCUGAGAGGACGACCAGCCACACUGGAACUGAGACACGGUCCAG